UGAUCCUGGCUCAGGACGAACGCUGGCGGCGUGCUUAACACAUGCAAGUCGAACGAGAAUCUGCGGAAAGAGGAUUCGUCCAAUUGAAGCAGAGGACAGUGGCGGACGGGUGAGUAACGCGUGAGGAACCUGCCUUUCAGAGGGGACAACAGUUGGAACGACUGCUAAUACCGCAUGACACAUUGGGGUCGCAUGGCCUGAUGUCAAAGNUUUAUCG
This 217-nucleotide ribosomal RNA is filed under the name uncultured bacterium. RNAcentral describes it as "partial 16S ribosomal RNA". It matches the Rfam family "Bacterial small subunit ribosomal RNA", at positions 14 to 214 of the family's 1533-position model. The record is from RNAcentral.